RNAcentral lists this ribosomal RNA (440 nucleotides) under uncultured bacterium. RNAcentral's name for it is "partial 16S ribosomal RNA". It matches the Rfam family "Bacterial small subunit ribosomal RNA", at positions 338 to 795 of the family's 1533-position model. The record is from RNAcentral.
CCUACGGGUGGCAGCAGUGGGGGAUAUUGGACAAUGGGGGAAACCCUGAUCCAGCGACGCCGCGUGAGUGAAGAAGGAUUUCGGUACGUAAAGCUCUAUCAGCAGGAAAGAAAAUGACGGUACCUGACUAAGUAGCCCCGGCUAACUACGUGCAAGCAGCCGCGGUAAUACGGCGGGGGCAAGCGUUAUCCGGAUUUACUGGUUGUAAAGGGCGCGUAGGCGGGAGCGCAAGUUGGGCGUGAAAGGCCGGGGCCCAACCCCGGAACUGCUCUGGAAACUGAGGAGCUGGAGUGCGGGAGAGGUAAGCGGAAUUCGUGGUGUAGCGGUGAAAUGCGUAGAUAUCAGGAAGAACACCGGCGGCGAAGGCGGCUUACUGGACUGUAACUGACGUUGAGGCUCGAAGGCGUGGGGAGCGAACAGGAUUAGAUACCCGAGUAGUC